RNAcentral lists this unclassified non-coding RNA (508 nucleotides) under Hevea brasiliensis (rubber tree). The record is from RNAcentral. Lineage: Eukaryota; Viridiplantae; Streptophyta; Magnoliopsida; Malpighiales; Euphorbiaceae.
GUGCCUACCUAUACGACAUUCACUUUUGGUUUGGAAAAGAUACAAGCCAAGAUGAGGCUGGAACUGCUGCAAUCAAGACCGUUGAACUUGAUGCAGUGCUUGGAGGCCGUGCAGUUCAGCACAGGGAGCUUCAAGGUCUCGAAUCUGACAAAUUCUUGUCAUUUUUUAAACCAUGCAUUAUUCCUUUGGAGGGAGGUGUUGCUUCUGGAUUCAAAAAGCCCGAAGAAGAAAUAUUUGAAACACGACUCUAUGUUUGUAGAGGGAAACGCGUUGUCAGAUUAAAGCAGGUUCCCUUUGCGCGCUCAUCACUGAAUCACGAUGAUGUAUUUAUAUUGGACACUGAGAACAAAAUAUAUCAAUUCAAUGGAUCUAACUCCAAUAUCCAAGAAAGAGCUAAAGCUUUAGAAGUAAUCCAAUACUUGAAGGAUAAGUACCAUGAGGGAACGUGUGAUGUUGCAAUUAUUGAUGACGGGAGGCUCGCAGCAGAAUCUGGGUCAGGUGAAUUUUG